CUCAGAUCUAGUGAAAACUGUUGCUCUUCAUGGGGCAAGUUGAAGUUAAAAGCAAACAAACCUUCAUCUGAAACUGCAUAAAAAGGAAAGAAACUUACAGAAAAACAGAACACCAUUAAAAGGAGAAGAAAAUCUGCCUGUAGAAGGAAAAGAAAUUAGAAAAUGGGGAGUUUGUAGUUUCAUUAACUUAGUGAAUUAACUUAGAGCUUAAAAACUUCAGAGCUUAAAAACUUUUUUAAAAAGGAAGCUUUUGAGAGCAGUAUAAAGUUUAGGACUCACUAAGGAUAUUAGUGUGGGAAGAACCAAACAACAGUAACCUUUGAUCAGAAAAUCUGUGAAUAUUUUCCAGCUGGAAAAACUUCCUAUGUAAGAGAAAAUUUCCUGGAUGAAAUACCAGGGAAGAGGCAGAGCAUUGGUAAAACAAAGGUCUUUCUUCCGAGUGAUGCUCUCUGCUCUGGUGUGGUCAUGUUCUGUCAGGAAGACACAGGGAAGCAGAUGGCAGUUUCCCUGUUCAGCAGUGAUGAGGACUUCCUGGAAUUGCUGAAGUUAUAUACAUCACAAGCAGGGCUUUGGGGAUCCUACUACACGUUCUUUAGUGUCAUUAUUGCCUUCUCGUAGUGUGACUUUUCUGUAAAUGAUAAUACCAAUUUUGCACACAUUCUUCAAAAUAUGAGGGUAAAUUCUAUUGUUUUGCUUCUGUCAUCUCCUUCCCCCUAGUUUUCCUUCAAAUGUAAGUUCUUUAUCAACAUACUAAUUUCUGAAAGACUGCUAAAGUCAUAUUCCUACUUGUGGCUUUGGUGGAACUCAUUAUGGGGAGGGCUCCCACAGGUGUUGAGUAUGUUAUCUGAAAGGACUGGAAGCAUGUGGGCUGCAUCUUCAACCAAUAGCAGAAAAGUUUGCAUGCCAAGUGCCGUUCUGUUGUCCAUUCCUGUCAUGUGAAUCUGGUUCCUCAUUUGAUUCUUAAUUACCUUUGUGUGAAAGUCCUCCUUGUACCGGUAAAUGAGCAUAUGAUAAACAACAAUAAAAUGUUUUUUAAUUAGUUUGAAGUGUAAAUUUACUAUUGAUUUGUAUCUUAUAGCUGAUGGAAUGCUCUUAACAUUUCUCCAGACUUUAAAAAAAUUUAAUUUAUAGCCUAUUCGUGUUUUCAGCUCAGUCCAUGGUUUUCUAUUUAUUUUUAUUUUUGUAGAGAUGAGGUCUCACUAUGUUGCCCAGGCUGGUCUCAAAGUCCUGGCCUUAAGUGAUCCUGCCACCUCUGCCUCCCGAAGUACCGGGAUUACAGGUGUGAGCCACUGCAUCUGGCUAUUUAAAAAACAUUUCUCUGCAGAAUUCUGUAGUUUCAUCUGAAGGCCUUAGGUACCAGGCUCAAGAAGGAGGUGAUCAUUGAUUGGUUAAUUCAUUCAUCUGCAAACAAAUAUUUAUUGAGCACCUCUUGUAUCCAGGUGCUUUUGUAGGAACCUAGAAUACAGUGCUGACCGAGGUACCUGGUCUUUUUUCUCUUGGAACUUACACUGCCAUAGGGAGAUAGAUAAUAUGCAACAGGAUUAAGUGAUAUGCCCGCAAGGCACUUACCACAGGGCCUGGUACAUAAGUGCUCAAUAGAUAUUGUUAUUAUUAUUUAUUGUGGAUACUGCUGUUAUCAGAUGGGUGCAGUUAGAUUGUCCCUUUUGACAUUCACAAUGUUGCCU
Molecule: long non-coding RNA, 1685 nt
Organism: Callithrix jacchus (white-tufted-ear marmoset)
Lineage: Eukaryota; Metazoa; Chordata; Mammalia; Primates; Cebidae
Source: Ensembl